RNAcentral lists this ribosomal RNA (406 nucleotides) under uncultured bacterium. Its description in RNAcentral is "partial 16S ribosomal RNA". It matches the Rfam family "Bacterial small subunit ribosomal RNA", at positions 30 to 526 of the family's 1533-position model. The record is from RNAcentral.
AUUGAACGCUGGCGGCAGGCCUAACACAUGCAAGUCGAACGAGUGGCGGAAGGGUGAGUAAUGUCUGGGAAACUGCCCGAUGGAGGGGGAUAACUACUGGAAACGGUAGCUAAUACCGCAUACCAUCGGAUGUGCCCAGCUGGGAUUAGCUAGUAGGUGGGGUAACGGCUCACCUAGGCGACGAUCCCUAGCUGGUCUGAGAGGAUGACCAGCCACACUGGAACUGAGCCACGGUCCCGACUCCUACGUGAGGCCGCAGUGGGGAAUAUUGCACAAUGGGCUCAAGCCUGAUGCAGCCAUGCCGCGUGUAUGAAGAAGUCCUUCGGGUUGUAAAGUACUUUCAGCGAGGAGGCGUUACUCGCAGAAGAAGCACCGGCUAACUCCGUGCCAGCAGCCGCGGUAAUUC